AAAGAACCNNCAGGGAUUGCCCUAGUAACGGCGAGUGAAGCGGCAACAGCUCAAAUUUGAAAUCUGGCUCUCGGGCCCGAGUUGUAAUUUGUAGAGGAUGCUUUUGGUGAGGUGCCUUCCGAGUUCCCUGGAACGGGACGCCAUAGAGGGUGAGAGCCCCGUCUGGUUGGACACCGAGCCUCUGUAAAGCUCCUUCGACGAGUCGAGUAGUUUGGGAAUGCUGCUCUAAAUGGGAGGUAUAUGUCUUCUAAAGCUAAAUAUUGGCCAGAGACCGAUAGCGCACAAGUAGAGUGAUCGAAAGAUGAAAAGCACUUUGAAAAGAGAGUUAAAAAGCACGUGAAAUUGUUGAAAGGGAAGCGCUUGUGACCAGACUUGGGCUUGGUUAAUCAUCCGGCGUUCUCGCCGGUGCACUUUUCCAGUCCAGGCCAGCAUCAGUUUGCCUUGGGGGAUAAAAGCUUCGGGAAUGUGGCUCCUCCGGGAGUGUUAUAGCCCGUUGCACAAUACCCUGGGGCGGACUGAGGUUCGCGCAUUCGCAAGGAUGCUGGCGUAUGGUCAUCAGC
This 560-nucleotide ribosomal RNA is filed under the name Fusarium lunatum. RNAcentral's name for it is "eukaryotic LSU rRNA". It matches the Rfam family "Eukaryotic large subunit ribosomal RNA", at positions 58 to 645 of the family's 3401-position model. The record is from RNAcentral. Lineage: Eukaryota; Fungi; Ascomycota; Sordariomycetes; Hypocreales; Nectriaceae.